RNA transcript from Athalia rosae (coleseed sawfly), 8709 nucleotides. RefSeq lists it as uncharacterized. The record is from RefSeq and is a predicted model, not a curated record. NCBI's taxonomy places the organism in Eukaryota, Metazoa, Arthropoda, Insecta, Hymenoptera, Athaliidae. The transcript is spliced from 2 exons.
CGCUUCGUUGCGCAUAUGUAACGAUUGCUCGUGUCUCGUGGAUCUCACCAUUGGCAGACCACAUAGCUGUGACAAACGUGACUGCAGUACAUGUCGCUGUCAACGUUCUUACAAUCACUUUUGUUGGAUGACACCGUUGAAAAGCGUGGACAAGCCCGGUCGCUUCAUACUUAUAUUCUAUGAUUUCGAAACGCAGCAGAAUGUCUCAAUCGUUGGGGACGCCUCGACCAAUAUUCAUAUUCCGAAUCUCUGCGUGGCACAGCAGGUGUGUACGGAUUGUAUCGGUGAAGCCGAAGCAACCUCACGCUGUUCGGCUUACGGCCUCGUGCGCGAGUUUAUUUUCCAAAGAGAUUCCGUCAGGGCAUUGCAAGAACUGGCGACAAGACCCGUCCAAAAUUUUUCGCGAAUAAUUUGCAUCGCGCACAAUGCACGCGGGUUCGAAGCGCAGUUCAUUUUACGCUAUCUCGUUGAAAACAACGAAACUCCUCCGAAGGUAAUUCUGAACGGAAGUAAAAAAGUUUUGAUGGAGUCUGGGCAUACGCGAUUUCUCGACUCCUUGGCAUACAUGCCUAUGUCUCUCGGGUCACUGCCAAAGGCUUUCGGGCUUCCGAUUGGCACGGUUGAAGGCUCCUUAUCGCAUCUUUUCAACACACCGCAGAGUGUGGACUACGUGGGCGCGCUACUACCCGUCGAAAUGUACUCACCGGACACCAUGAGCAGCGAGACGAGGAAAGAAGUUUACGACUGGUACCACGAGACACAAGAACAGGGUUACAGCUUUGACUUUGACCGGGACCUUGUAAAGUACUGUAGGUCGGAUGUAGACGUUCUCCAACGCGCGUGUAUCGCAUUUCGAAAUAUAUUUUUGGAACGCGGCAAAGUGUGCCCCUUCACCGAGAGUACAACUAUAGCGUUCGCGUGCUCCGCGGUCUUUCGGAGAAACUUUUUACAGCCCGAGCGUAUAGGCAUCCUACCGGUGGGAGGAUAUCGCUUCGCUGAUAACCAUUCGCAAAAGGCUUUAGACUGGUUAGCAUGGGUGGAACACGAGUCGCAGCCAGUCAUCCGUCAUGCCGGUAAUUCGCGCGAGUUCAGAGUACCCGAGACGGGACGUGCGGUGGACGGGUAUUGCGUAACACCUGAUGGCGUACGGCGAGUUUUUGAAUUUCACGGGUGUAUCUGGCACGGCUGCCGUAAUUGUUUCAAAAUCAAUCGCGAUCGCCGAUCCGUGAGCGGAGUGUCGCUCGACAAGCGUCACGAAGAGACCGUCGCGAAAACUGCCCGGAUGACCGCACUGGGAUACCACGUAACCGAAAUGUGGGAAUGCGUCUUCGAUCGUCUCCUGAAGAACAAUGCUGAGAUGAGGGCGUACAUUGCGAGUCACUCGACUAACUCGCGUACCGAGUCUUUAAACUCGCGGGAUGCUUUCUAUGGCGGACGUACAGGUAACACAUCGUGUUAUCACGAGGUAAAAACGGAUGCGGACGGAGUCGCGACCGAGCAGAUACGCUAUGUCGACGUGUGCUCGCUUUACCCUUACGUCUGUAAGAACGGUCGAUACCCGGUGGGACAUCCGGUCGUCUACGUGGGUGACGAGUGCCGCAUGUUAACGGGGAUGGGCGGUACGGACAUAGCAAGGGUCGAGGGCUUGGUGAAGUGUACGGUCUUACCGCCUCAAAACCUAUACCACCCAGUCUUGCCGGUGCGUAUGCACGGAAAAUUGAUGUUUGCCUUGUGUCGCACGUGCUGCGAGAACCUCGAACAAAACGGCUGUCGGCAUAGCGAAGAGAAACAGCGGGAGUUCGAGGGUACGUGGGUAUCCGACGAAUUGAAAAAAGCCGUAGAGAAGGGCUACCGGAUUUUAAAGAUUCUGGAAAUCUGGCAGUUUCAGAUUACUUCUUUUGAUUCUUCCACUCGGCAAGGCGGCCAUUUCGCGCAGUAUAUAGACACGUUCCUCAAAAUCAAGCAGGAGGCCAGUGGCUGGCCUGCCGAUUGCAAGGACGAGGCAUCGCGCAAUAAUUAUCUCGACGAGUACGAGAGAGUAGAGGGGAUUCGGCUAGACCGUUCCAGAAUUUCAAAGAAUCCCGGUCUGCGCUCCGUGUCUAAGUUAUGCCUGAAUUCGUUUUGGGGGAAGUUUGGACAGCGGGAAAAUAUGACGAAAACGGAGAUAGUGAAUACGCGUCAGCAGCUAUUGGAAUUAAUCACCAACCCCGAAGUCGUGGUAUCGGGCAUAUUGAUAGUAAACGAUACCGUACUGUACGUCAACUGGUCACACGCCAUGCAAUGCGUUGAACCGUCGCCUUUAUCCAACGUCGUUAUCGCCGCGUAUACGACUGCCCAAGCUCGCUUAAAAUUGUACGAGUAUCUCGAACUACUCGAUAGACGCGUACUCUAUUACGAUACGGAUUCCCUAAUUUACCGGCGAAACAUGCUCGAUCCGAACGAGUACGAACUGCCAACGGGAAAUUUCCUCGGUGAUCUCACGGACGAAUUGGAGGCAUACGGUAAGGGCUCCUUCAUUCACGCGUUUGUUUCGGGGGGUGCGAAAUUCUACGCGUUUAUGGUACGGCGCCCCGACGGCAGCGACGCGGAAAUUUGUAAAAUCAAAGGCAUCACGCUGGAUCACGAUAGCAAAAAACGCAUCAACUUCUCGGCAAUUAGGAGAAUGGUGGUGGAAUCAGCGGAUCCCGUGCGUCUGGAAUACCGCGCUGUUCGUCGGACCGCAUUGCACGAUGUUGUCACGCGAACGGAGACGAAAACCUGCAAACCCGUCUUCGUCAAGAGAUUCCGCCGCCCGAAUUCAUUCGAUACGUUACCGUACGGGUACAAAGACGGAAACGGGGGGUGAACAAGUCGUCCUCAGGCACGUGGAAUGAGGACCGCAUGCUUCGUGAGGCUCGCUCUCGCUCGACCUUUCUCUUCACGAAUAAAAUUUAGGUACAUCACGUCAACGAUCCAAGACCUCGUUUCUACCCUCCCUGUCGUCAGCUUCGUUCAGCUUUUCGUCAUAUAAGUACAGCGGCCGGGGUGCGACACGAUCAGAAUCAGAUUCACCGAAGACAAUCGAGGUCACGCACGCACGACCGAGAAGGAAGAGAAGAAGAAGAAGAAGAAGUAUACGGACAAGCAAUCUCAGUUGCAUCAAGACUCCGCCAAAGUGAAGCGACGCUAGACGAUGACUCUGGAUACACGUUGGAAGCAUCCGUUCUCUGCCAUCGUUGCCGGUCCAUCGGGCUGUGGAAAGUCCAAUUUCGUGAAGACUUUCUUAAAACACUGUGAUCGGAUGUGUGAUGCAAAAUUCACUCGCGUCAUCUGGUACUACGACGAAUGGCAACCGUUGUACGAAUCCACCAGUGGUAUAGAAUAUCGUGAGGGUUUACCGCAACACACUGACUACGACGGCGACAAGAGUCCUAAACUGCUGAUCAUCGACGAUCUGAUGCGCGAAGCGUCCAACAACGUAGUCGUCGAUUUAUUCACCAAAGUUUGCCACCACAAAAACCUCAGCGUCUUCUACAUCACGCAAAACCUAUUUCACCAAGGACACGGUCAACGCGACAUUUCGUUAAACGCGAACCUUAUAGUAUUUUCCAAAAAUCCUCGGGACCGUGGUCAGAUACAACAUCUCGCGCGUCAGGUCUGUCCAGAGAACCCACGGUUUCUUCAAGAGGCCUAUCACGAUGCUACGGCCAUUCCGCACGGAUAUCUGUUACUCGACUUGAAACAAACGACCCCUGAAAACUGUCGCUUUCGGACGAAAAUAUUCCCUACGGACGAGAAACACUACGUAUACGUUCCGAAAAAGGAUAUAAAGUCGAACGGAACGGGUAAAGUCCCAGUCAUUCAGCUGUGAUGCCGCAAGGAAGUCGUCGGGGAAGCAGUGCCAGCUUUGGCAAAACAAACACUGUCGCUCUGCAGGCUCUGCAAAAAACUAAAUCCUACUCAAAAAUUGGCUUUGCUCCGUACCGCUGACAAAACGUUGGUGAGAGAUAUUUGCGAGUGCGCUCUCAAUGUCUUGCUGGGAAACGUGAAACUGUCGCGCGCCCAGAAAACCCGUCUCGUUCAACAUAAGCAAACGCUUCGUCAACUGGCCAAAAAGCAAGGUAGUUGGAAGAGUAAGAAAAAAAUUCUAAUUCAACGAGGAAACGGAUUUCUGACUCUCUUACUCGCACCGAUAUUAGGGACUUUGGCUUCUAGUCUGUUUUCAAAGUAAAAAGAAGAAUCACAGAGAGAAUGGAGCAUGCAAAGAAGAUGGUUUUAAUACCGGCGGAUACGAUUGAGAGAUUUCGACGUCGCGUCAGCGAGAAUACGACUGCGAAAGUUACACCGCCGACGACGAAUGACGCCGUCGACAAUCCUGUCUCGAGACUGGACCAGGAGAUGAGAGUUAUCUUGAACUCAAAGUCAGAGGACAACGCGGAAAAGUGGAAACUAUACCAGCAAGCGAUGCAGCGGUAUUUAUUUUUUGCAAACGAGGAUAGAAAGCCGUUGGAAGUUCUGAUUCGCGAUAACGGAGAAAGCAACACGGCGAGCCGAUUAUCCAACGAAAUACCGAGAGCGGUUGCGAAACGGAAGUAUCAGAAGAUAGUAGACGCUGUUCCGAACAGGUAUGCUGCAAAAGCGGGACUUUUGAUGCGAUUGCUGACGAUGAGCGACGAAACAUCUGCGCGUUUUGGAUGGGAUGUGUCCGGUGUUGUUUUAAUCGACGGAGUAAUCAUUCCCGGUACAAAUAUUGUCGAUCUGAUCAAUCACACGAUGCGCUCGAGAAAGACAUUUGAUCCCGCAGGAAGCAUAUAGUUUGCACGGUUUCUCCACGCGAUCAAAGUGCCGCGAGAGUGUGUGGGAAAUGAUGAAUUUUGGAAAACUAUUCGAUCGUUUGACGAGACGCGAAGAAGCCUCGUUCCGAAAAGGAGAAGACCCGUCACCACCACCACCAGCGAUAAAACCGAUGAGACGGCUAGCCCGCAACCUCAAGUUCCAGUAACGCGUAAUCGUUCGAAAGAGACCAACGUGUCUCCGGGAUCCCCCUAUUCGGGAGUACGAAAUUGGAAAAGACUGCGCUUUUCGAAGUGAUGCAAAUGCUCGAAGAGAUCUAUUACGAACCAGCACACCCUGCGGGCUACGCGGGUGCACGAAAUCUGGAACGGGCGGCUCGCGGCGAAAAGACUCGAGCGAUGGUGAAGAAAUGGCUGGCUGCACAGGAUACGUACACUUUGCACAAAUCCGUGCGAAGAAACUUUGAAAGAGCAAGAUACGACGUUUCCAGCAUCGACGACGUGUGGGAGGCUGAUCUGGCCGAUUUGAGCUCGAUGAGAAGAAAAAAUAACGGACAUCGCUAUUUACUGGUGGUCAUCGACGUUUUGAGCAAAUACGCCUGGGUCGUACCCCUGAAGUGUAAAACAGCCAAUUCCGUAGCGGAAGGAUUUCAACACGUGCUAACCACAACCCCACGUAGACCUGUUUUACUGCAGACCGACAAGGGUAAGGAGUUUGUCGGACGAACAUUUCAAAAGCUUCUUUCGGACAACGGCAUACGAUAUCGCACUACCCGCAAUCCCGAUAUACAAGCGGCUAUCGUCGAACGCUUCAAUCGCACACUCAAGGAGCGACUUUAGCGUUAUUUUACGCAUAAGAAUAGUCAGCGCUACGUAGACGUUUCACCACUCAUCGUUCAAGCGUACAACGAGACACGUCACUCGAGUAUCGGUAUGUCCCCUGCCGAGGUGACGCUAGAGAACGCUGCAAAAGCGCGGGCUUACAUGCAGAAGCGGUAUCCAGCACGUCGUAUCGGCAGACCCCGAUUUCGCGAAAACGAUAUCGUGCGAAUCAGCAAAACCAAAGGAACUUUCCAGAAAGGCUACGAGGCAAACUGGAGCGAAGAAUUGUUCAAAUUUCGCCAUGUACUCGCUCGCGCACGGAUUGUCGAUGUAUAAGAGGAUCUCUCCGGCAAAGAAAUUGACGGUACCUUCUACGAACCUGAGCUUCAGCGUAUUGAGGAAAGAGGUCCCGAUGGCGAUGCCCUCCAAAAUUGAAGAAAAAAAAAAGAGACAAAAGACUAGAUCAACGGUGUCGUCGAAGUCAUUCGUUCUGCGUACGUUGACGCGGAACCUCGCAAGACACGCCAGUGCGAUGGCAAAGGACCACUUUUACAUCACACUUCCGAGCAAUAGCUCAGUCCCCUUUUUCCCGGACAAUCGUUCCUGCUGCUACAUUACGCAGUUACCACGGACUGUGGUACGAUAACAAGAACGGCGAAACAGAUAUUUGCGAACCGCGUGGAAACGACGUACGACGAAAUCAUGCGAAACGGACGCGUCGUAGAUUUGAUCGGACAUCUUCACUGCGACGUCUUUAAUCAGGAAAAGUUUUUACUGAACGAUGUGGAACUACGAGUACGCCUCGUACGCUCGAAAGAUAGCUUCUGCCUUAUGGAAACUGAAGCGCUGCAUACUCUACAUAUUCUAGAAGCAUCUUUACUCGUGCGCCGGGUGAAAAUCAGCCCAGGUAUAUUGCUGGCUCAUGCAAGAACUCUAGCCAAGGGUACGGCAAAAUAACUGGUUACCCGAGUUGAAGUCAAAGCCUUCACCAUUCAUGCCGGCGUGCAGGCUGAGACGCUGGACAACGUCAUACUCGGACAACUACCGAAACGCGUCAUUUUGGGGCUAGUCAGCAACAAGGCUUUCAACGGUGACAGAAAACGGAAUCCCUUCAACUUUCAACAUUUCAUGCUGAAUUAUCUAUCGUUGUACGUCGACGGCAUUCAAAUACCCUCGAAAGCUUUGCAACCGAGCUUUGGAAAGAACGGCGUAUACGUCGACACGUAUCACACUUUAUUCUCUGGGACCGGAGUACAUUUUCUCAACGAGGGCUGCGGUAUCGGACGACUACACUAUGAAAUGGGAAAUUGUCUCACAGCAUUUGACCUAACGCCUGAUCUUGCGGCCAACUGUUCGUCUCACUGGUCACUCAUCAAACACGGAACACUCAGGAUUGAAUUACGCUUCGACGAUGCACUCAAAGAAACUAUCAACUGUAUCGUGUACGCGGAAUUCGACAAUAUUAUUGAAGUCGAUGCAUCGCGUCAGGUUGUCACAGAUUUCGGCUGUUAGCCCGAACGCUGACAAAAAAAAAGACGGAGCGACACGUGUUGGGAUCACCCCCGAACAGAAGCACAGUGGGAGGUACGGCUCGACGACUUUAAAAAGGGCAGUUUCGUAUUCGAGAGAAACAGUCAAGUGCUUCUCACCGUCUCGACAACAUCUUCAUCAGCGAUGGAUUUUAUCGUAGAUAUCCAAGGCUUCAGGGAUGUUUACGGACGUUUCUUGCCGAAAGAAGUGGCAUUAGUUGCACUCGAGAAUUCGUAUUUUUCUCACUGGGUCGUACAACCGCCAUACCCGUUUACCGAUCUAUCAGGGAAGGAGUGUGCCGUCAACAAUUACGUGACCUGUUAUCAUCACGGGAUCGAUUGGUUCGGAGGAGACAUAACGCUGCAUCAACUUGCUACCAAUUUACGAGAAAUCGCACGCCAUGCCCAUCGUAUCAUCACACGCGGUCGGGAAAAAGCCAAAUAUCUACAGGACAUCACUUCGCGGGAAAUCAUGAAUUCGGAAGAAGUCGACUGCCCCGUGUUCGCUAAAUUAGAUCGGAGCAAAGAAUAUUGCUUCUUUCACGGCGCUAAAAAAGAGGAAUUCUACGCGUAUGCUCCAAACAACGUGAUCAGAUUAAAGAAUUGGAUGAAUUCGAGGCGUAUCACAGGAGACUGCCACAAAGCGUACCCGCAGAAUAAUAAGACAUCGCGGUCUUCCACCAGAGACUCUCCCUUGCCAAUAGUAUCCGAGCAUCAGUCUCACGCAUCGAAUUCACCCGAAUCCCCGGUGGACGACAGAGCACCCAGCAGUUCUACCCUUGUAUCAGUCGACCAAGAACCUACGUACGCCACGGUAGUAGACACAUUCGGUAGUAUGAUCGUCUCCGAUACCGAAGAUGAACACCAUUCAAAUUCUGGAUGUACUGCCGGCGCUUCAAAGCGGAACUCGCGGGGUUUUUGCCGCGGAUCAAAUCCCUCUUGUUUGAACAGCACCAACAAUCAUCGUUGCAAACACCGAUGAUCACACGAGAGGGGGUAGCCACUGGGUCGCGUUCUACGUCAGUCCCACCGGUCAUGGAGUCUACUUCGACAGUUUCGGAAUGCCACCGCUCAUACCACAUCACAGACGAACACUGCGAUGCAACUGCAGAAGACUCCACUGGAACGUCAAACAACUUCGAAGUCUUUCUUCGGACGUAUGUGGACAAUACUGUAUUAUGUUUGUGCAUUUUAUGGCUAUUGGUUUUACUCUCGGGCAGUUUGUGGAUAUAUUCGAUAAUGACCACAAAAACAACGACCGCAUCGUGGCUGAAUUUUAUGAAGGGCUGACCUCCACCGAUCACUGUAACAAUGUAUCUCGAGUGCGAACACCACACUGCAUUCAGUGCUGCGGAGCCAAAAAACUGUCAAAGAACGACAGACGAGAGUUUCUAGUCUUCUCAUGUUGUACAAAUUCUCAACUCUUUCUCAUUUACCAUUAGAACGUAAGCUUUAGAUUUAUAAUCACCAAAACUAGUGUACUUAUUUCUUACAACGCCAUUAGAAAAAUUAAACAUUACUUUUACCGAUAGAACGUAAGCUUUACAUAUAAUCACCAAAAACUAUUGUACUCAUUUCUUACAAAA